CCUACGGGUGGCAGCAGUGGGGAAUUUUGCGCAAUGGGCGAAAGCCUGACGCAGCAACGCCGCGUGGGUGACGAAGUCCCUUGGGACGUAAAACCCUGUCGGGUGGGACGAAAAUAUCCCGCAAGGGAGACUGACUGUACCAUCAAAGGAAGCCCCGGCUAACUCCGUGCCAGCAGCCGCGGUAAUACGGGGGGGGCAAGCGUUGUUCGGAAUUACUGGGCGUAAAGGGCGUGUAGGCGACCCGGCUAGUCAGUUGUGAAAUCCCCAGGCUCAACUUGGGAAUUGCAACUGAAACUGCCAGGCUAGAGUUCAGGAGAGGAGAGCGGAACUCCCAGUGUAGCGGUGAAAUGCGUAGAUAUUGGGAGGAACACCGGUGGCGAAGGCGGCUCUCUGGACUGAAACUGACGCUGAGGCGCGAAAGCUAGGGGAGCAAACGGGAUUAGAUACCCCUGUANUC
Molecule: ribosomal RNA, 457 nt
Filed under: uncultured bacterium
Lineage: Bacteria
Description: bacterial SSU rRNA
Rfam family: Bacterial small subunit ribosomal RNA
Source: RNAcentral